CCGCGGGGCCUUCUAAGUCAAAAAGUCUCCGGAGCUUGCGCCAGGCUUUUCGCGGCGCCCCGGCCUUAGACGCAGGUCUCGGAAGCGAGCAGGGGAGAAGGCGUCGUUGCCGGAGCUGAGACCGGGCGGCCGGAGUCCGCAGGGAUGAACCUCGAGUUGCUGGAGUCCUUUGGGCAGAACUAUCCAGAGGAGGCUGAUGGAACUUUGGAUUGUAUCAGCAUGGCCCUGACUUGCACCUUUAACAGAUGGGGCACACUGCUUGCAGUUGGCUGUAAUGAUGGCCGGAUUGUCAUCUGGGAUUUCUUGACAAGAGGCAUUGCUAAAAUAAUUAGUGCACACAUCCAUCCAGUCUGUUCUUUAUGCUGGAGUCGAGAUGGUCAUAAGCUCGUGAGUGCUUCCACUGAUAACAUAGUGUCACAGUGGGAUGUUCUUUCAGGCGACUGCGACCAGAGGUUUCGAUUCCCUUCACCCAUCUUAAAAGUCCAGUAUCAUCCACGAGAUCAGAACAAGGUUCUCGUGUGUCCCAUGAAAUCUGCUCCUGUCAUGUUGACCCUUUCAGAUUCCAAACAUGUUGUUCUGCCGGUAGACGAUGACUCCGAUUUGAACGUGGUGGCUUCUUUUGAUAGGCGAGGGGAAUAUAUUUAUACGGGAAAUGCAAAAGGCAAGAUUUUGGUCCUAAAAACAGAUUCUCAGGAUCUUGUUGCUUCCUUCAGAGUAACAACUGGAACAAGCAAUACCACGGCCAUUAAAUCAAUUGAAUUUGCCCGGAAAGGGAGUUGCUUUUUAAUUAACACAGCAGAUCGAAUAAUCAGGGUUUAUGAUGGCAGAGAAAUCUUAACCUGUGGAAGAGAUGGGGAGCCUGAACCCAUGCAAAAAUUGCAGGACUUGGUGAAUAGGACUCCAUGGAAGAAAUGCUGUUUCUCUGGGGAUGGGGAAUACAUAGUGGCGGGUUCCGCCCGGCAGCAUGCUCUGUACAUCUGGGAGAAGAGCAUUGGUAACCUGGUGAAGAUUCUCCAUGGGACGAGAGGAGAGCUCCUGUUGGAUGUCGCUUGGCAUCCUGUUCGACCCAUCAUAGCAUCCAUUUCUAGUGGAGUGGUAUCUAUCUGGGCACAAAAUCAAGUGGAAAACUGGAGUGCAUUCGCACCAGAUUUCAAAGAAUUGGAUGAAAAUGUAGAAUAUGAGGAAAGGGAAUCAGAGUUUGAUAUUGAAGAUGAAGAUAAGAGUGAGCCUGAGCAGACAGGGGCUGAUGCUGCAGAAGAUGAGGAGGUGGAUGUCACCAGUGUGGACCCCAUUGCUGCCUUCUGUAGCAGUGAUGAAGAGCUGGAAGAUUCAAAGGCUCUAUUGUAUUUACCCAUUGCCCCUGAGGUAGAAGACCCAGAAGAAAAUCCUUAUGGCCCCCCACCGGAUGCAGUCCAAACCUCCUUGAUGGAUGAAGGGGCUAGUUCAGAGAAGAAGAGGCAGUCUUCAGCAGAUGGGUCCCAGCCACCUAAGAAGAAACCCAAAACAACCAAUAUAGAACUUCAAGGAGUACCAAAUGAUGAAGUCCAUCCACUACUGGGUGUGAAGGGGGAUGGCAAAUCCAAGAAGAAGCAAGCAGGCCGGCCUAAAGGAUCAAAAGGUAAAGAGAAAGAUUCUCCAUUUAAACCGAAACUCUACAAAGGGGACAGAGGUUUACCUCUGGAAGGAUCAGCGAAGGGUAAAGUGCAGGCGGAACUCAGCCAGCCCUUGACAGCUCAUCAGUAUUGGAUAGCACCAGAGGGCCCACAUCCACGAAGACACUUUCUGUAUUGAGUGAAGACCCAACAGUGAAGCUUGGUAAGGGUAACCCUAAGCUUGGGACUUACCAGAGAGACCAGGCUGACAUAAUUUGCACUAUUUAUCAAAUGUCCCUCAAUUACCUUAGAUACUCUCCAGAGGCCAGUCCUCGGAACAGAAACUUGAGACGUGAACAGAAUCACCAAUUUCCUCGUUGCCAUGGAAUUGCUCAAGAACCAGGGCUCCUUGGCAGUAACCGUCAGUAGUAAAGUGAGGCUGUCACAUUCGUGGUCUGAAGUCCUCAUGUGAUGUUAAUAUUUCACAGCUGUCCAUUUAAGGAUGUCCCUCAGAGGUUGAACAGCUUCUAUGGAAUAAUCAGGGAAGUGUUCAUUUGAUUUUACUAUUUAGGAUAUUAUUUAUUGAUCAGUUGGUUCAUAGAAAUGCAGACAGUAGCUUUCAUCAACAUUUCACCAUAUUUGGGGUUCUAAGGUGAUAAAGAUGUCACUUAAGGAACGGUGGUGCUUGGAAAAGGGUUUCUUGCUCACUGUUAAUCAUGUAGUUACUAAUUAGUCUAAUAUCUGAAAGGUUAAAGGUGUAGUGCCCUGGAAUUUCCUCUACUUAUUGCACUUUUUGGAUUGCUAAGUAUUGUUUGUGAACUCCUUAGAGAAUGACUAGCAGCUUAGAAAAUGCAUAGAACUCUGGUCAUUUUGCUUUUCCCCAUACCCUUUGGAGCAGUGCUGAGAAAAGUAUUGGGGGUAGGGGUUUGGGAUUUGAAUUAUUUGUUUCAAUAAAGAGUAGUUGGGAAUUGGAAUUGGUUUUAAUUUUUCUUAAAAAGGGGAAGUACUUGGCUCAUAUAUGCUUGUAAUGCAUCAUCCAGCAUCCAUCAGUAUUUCUGUCUUAUAAGUAAUUGGUCUAUGUUAAUGCUAACAGAAAACUUUUUGUGUCUAAUCUCUUUAGCAGGAGGAGCAAUCUCAGAAUUGUUAUGAAGACCCUUGAAGUUCUUCGUUCUUCCCCACUUUGCCAUCAUGUGGCCUCUGGACACUGUGGUCAGUCAUUUGAGAUUGACUUUAAUUUAAAACAAAGGCCUCUGCCUCCCACCCAGGAGGUGGGAGGAAUGAAUUUUAUGUUUGAAUGAAGAAGUGAAUUAUGGAAGAAGAGUAUAUGUCCCUUACCUUCCUUUUCAAGCAUAAGUCCAAAUAGGCUCUCAGGAAUGAGGAUUGUGAAGACAUCAGAUAGGAGCUUUGACUCAUUUAAACUUUGAUGCUUAGUUAUAUUGCUGGAGAAAAAAUACCCAUGUUUUGCUCAUAUAACAUUAUUGUACCCAGCAUCAUUUUGGCUGUCAUUUCCUAUCUCCUGUUAGCCUUCCAUCCUCAGUGCAUGUCCUUGAGUGACUUGUUCCUAUCUGAAAUUUUGCUACCAAUAUCCUAGGGAAACGUCUGUUGCUAAUUCUUUCUUUCAUUUUUUAAACUUACCUUCUCCCCAGAUAUCGCCUAUAUUUCCAUAUUGUGUACAAAGGAUGGGCAGGAAAGAACAUGCUUGAAAAUUUUCAAAUUUUCAGAAAGGGAAGAAAGAUAAGAAGCCCCCCCUCUUCCUACUGUACUACAUUUUGCUCAAGAAGCUGGGCUGUAAGAGAGUCAAGGUUUUUUUUCCUUGUUUUCUUUCCAUUGCAUGUUUCCCUCCAGUAUUGGUUCAUUGUCAUUAAUCAUGGUGUUUGAAGAUAGCUAGUUUUAUCCAUCUCCAGCAAAGAAUCAUCAACAGUUUGUAUUGCUUUAUUUUAUUUUAUUUUUUCCCUUUGAUCCUGGUGUGUAUCGCUUUAUGUAUGCUGGCUUCCAGAGAUGGAAGCAAACCAAGGUGUCACUCAACAAGCUUAUUUUUUAUUGGGGUGGGGGAAUCUAUGCAAGGACUAGGGUAAAACCAUCUGAAAUCAAAGCAGCAACAACACAGUUCAAAUCAAAGAUCAAGGUGAAAUUUUUUUUAUCAUUGCCUGUGGAAAUCUGUCCCCAUCAGUCCCUUCCUGUAUCUAUGCUCCUUUUUCUGUGUUUUCAUUCACUUCCUUUCUGUGAAAGGUUGCUAGCUUUUUUGCCUUUUUUUGCUUUUGUUGUUCUAUAGAUAGAAAGAUUGGAUAGAUGUACAUUAGGUGUUUGAAAUUCUCUGAAAAUUUAGUCAGGAAGCCAGACACUCAGUAGCCUCCCUGAGUAGAGCUUUUAGUUGGCCAGAAGUGCUUAACCUGGAUCAUUUUCUCAGUAUUUUUCAAAGGAGAGUUCAAAUACUGUGCUUAUUGUGAAAUCUGUAUCAGUUGGUGGGUGCUUCUAUAGGCAGCCAAACACAUUGAUUACCUUUUAGAUUUUAGGAUAGAAAUCAAGGUAGAGAAAUCAGUAAGAGCCUCUUUCUCCCAUUCCAUCCUUUAGAACCAGUGUAUUUAAUAGUAGAGGAAAGAGCUCUCCCUGAGUCAGUUUCAAAACAUCUAUAUUGUUAGAUGCUAUUACUUUUCCCCUAAAUGCUCAUUUUGUGAAUUGCAUAUGAGUUAGACCAGUGGUUGAGAUGGGUAAGUGGCUCACUAGACAUGUUUUUGUUUUACAGAUAUUAUAUCCAUUCCAGUUUUCUUUGUACUCCACCCUGCAAUAGUGUGCAAACUGUGUGGUACAAAAGGUUUCUGCCUUAUUUCCGUGUGUGGAGUAGCUUGGUUUCCUCUGCCUGUGCAUCUGGCUGUUUGUGCUGUGUCCGCCUCCUAAACUGGCUACUGAGAAAAGCGACUUAAGCCCUGUCAGAUUGUCUCUGGCAGGCAGCUCCUAAUAAUUAUUUAUGCUUUUGGAAAUUUUUUUUUCAACUCCUAAAACCUUCUAUCUUAGUUUGACUUUCUUGAUUUGUACAAUAUAUGUAUAUUCUCUUCCUUUUUGUCACCUCCCCACUCCCCCAUUGUUUGGUUUUUUAAAAUGUUCUGUAGUUUUGUACAAGAUGAGACUUAGACUUGGGUAUAUCUUGCUGAAGCUUUAAUGCUUUGUAAAUAAAAUCGGAUGUUUAUUAAAGAA
Microcebus murinus (gray mouse lemur) is the source of this 4784-nucleotide non-coding RNA. NCBI's taxonomy places the organism in Eukaryota, Metazoa, Chordata, Mammalia, Primates, Cheirogaleidae. The record is from RefSeq and is a predicted model, not a curated record.